CUUUUAAAAUUUUGUUGAACUGCAUUUUCAUCACUUGAAUUAGUAUUAACAUUAUAAAUCAAUUCAAAGUUGUCAGGUUAAAAACGACGCUCAAAGAUAUAUGGCUCCGAAAGACCGCGGGAUAAUUUCAAAUUCUUGAUUUAUACAUGUUCAAUUGAGUAUGGAACCAAUGAUCUAGUCGUAAUGUUUCGAUGUUUAAAAAUGUUAUUUCGGAGUUUAAUGAAGUAUGCUGUCGGUGCAUUAUCAAAAUGUUAGGGACCGGUCAUUAUUUAUGGUGGGAGGUGGCACCGAAGAGAAUUGUUUCUCGUGGUAAAAAUUUUGCUGACCCAACCAUUAAAAAGACAAAAAAUUGAUUACCCAACCUCAAAUAUAAAUUGAAAAAUAAUUACCCACCCCUGGCCAAAAACUUUACAAAAGGAUACCAUUCAGUUGUCACACAUGUCUUUUACCACUUCUAUGACACGAGUUUGAUAACGGCUUGUGAAAUUUUCUGCAGUCUAAAGUUUCAUGUUGUCUGCACAUGUAGUUUCUUUGGAGACACCAUUUGUUUUGUCAAAAUGAUCAAGAUAGUGACUCUGAUUGAUUGAUUCACGUAUUGUAUUGACAAAUGACUGUUGACAUUGCUUUUCAGUCUCCAAUAUUUCAGUGGGUCAUGCAUUGGAAAUGACAAUAAAUUUUUAUUACCCAAACCUUGAGUUGUUUUGUUUUUCAUUUACCCAACCUUUUACUUACUCAAAAUUUAGUAACCUUUUUCUCUUCGGUGCCACCCCCCGCCAUAAAUAAUGACCGCUCCCUUAAGGCACUUUGAGGAAAUUAAUUUUCUUCAAGCAAUGGAAACUGUUGUCAACGCAGUGUGACCCAUUGGUAUGACCAGAUUUUUUCAGUGGCCAUUACCAAAAUUUUCUUCAGAUUUUACUAAAUUAAGAAAAAUUUUACCAAAUGUGGCUUCCCAAAUAAUGACGUCGUAGUAAUGCCAAAAAAACAAUAGUUAAUGUCAUCCAAGUAGAA
Molecule: non-coding RNA, 1008 nt
Organism: Paramuricea clavata
Lineage: Eukaryota; Metazoa; Cnidaria; Anthozoa; Malacalcyonacea; Plexauridae
Source: the annotation of a GenBank genome assembly